RNAcentral lists this long non-coding RNA (1838 nucleotides) under Glycine max (soybean). RNAcentral's name for it is "long non-coding RNA (GMAX_LNC002668)". The record is from RNAcentral. Lineage: Eukaryota; Viridiplantae; Streptophyta; Magnoliopsida; Fabales; Fabaceae.
ACAAAUCUAAAAAUCAAUUUUAAUAUAAAUUUGUAUGACUAAAUACUAUAAGCAUGACAUGAUCAAAGACAAAAAGAGAGAAAAAUAUAUCAUCUUGUUCUUUACAAUUAUGUUCCUUUUUUUUCCCUUUCCUAUAGGCUCAUGGCAUGCAAACUUCAAAUACUUCAACUACACACAAAAAUGAGAGAAAGAAAAUUAGAGCAAUAAAAAACAAAAGAAAAUUAAUAAAAGAUAAAUUUAAGUUUAAAUAUUAAUUGAAAAUGUAAAUAAAAUAACACAUUAAGACAAUAAAAAGUCUAUAAAAUGUAAGAGGUUUUCUUACUUUGUUUAUCUCAUUUUUUAUCUAUUCUCUCUUCAAAUCAAAAACUUUGUCAACAACACCAUACAUAUUUUCACCAUCCUUAAAUAUUAGAAAAUUAUAUAUUCUCAUGGUUUCUGUUCCCUAAAGGCACAAAGAUAAUAAAAAAAUUAUAGUAUGAAUGAGAUAAGGGAAACAUUAUUAUAUUUUUCUUCUUCUUUUCCUUUAAAAAUACUAAGAAACAAUAAGAUAAACAAAAACAAUAUAGAAGAAAAUAGUUAAAAAAAUCUAUAAAAUGUAACAUGUUUUUUACUUUGUCUAUCGUGUUUCUUCUCAUUUUUCUCUUUAGAUCAAAGAGUCUUUGCCAACACAACAUCAUACAUCUUUUUACCUCCUAAAAUAUUAAAAAAUUAUAUAUUCUCAUGACUUUUGUUUCCUAAAGGCAAAAAGAUAAUAAAAAAGUAAUUAAAAUAAAACUUAUAGCAUGUGAAUGAAAUAAGUGAAAAAUCAUUAAAUUUUUUAUUUUUUACCUAUAAAAACACUUAAGAAAAAGAAGAAGUUUCUCUUUUUAGAUCAAAGAGUCUUUUGCCAACACAGCACCAUACAUCUUUUCACCAUCUUGGAAUAAUAGACAAUUAUAUAUUCCCAUGACUUCCUUUCCCUAAAGGCUCAAAGAUAAAAAAAAAAAAAAACUUAUAGUAUCUGAAUGAGAUAAAUAAAAAAUCAUUUGAUAUAAAAUGAUUGACAUUAUUACUUACAUGCAUAGCAAAAUAUUGAUAAGUCUAGUGAGAGAAUUUGAUUACAAAGGUCACAUCUGAAAAUCUCAAAAAUAAUUAAUCAAUAAUGGGUUUCUUUUUCUAAAAAAGGAAAAAAGAAGUAGGCUUUGAAUGCUUUAGAUGCAAGACAACAUAAUGGUGUAGGAAUUAUACCCACAUCUUUCAUAUGUUGUAUGCCAUGUUGAAUUCCAUCCUUCCAAAUGUACUCAAAAUGAAUAAACAUCAUGUAAACCAAAUUUAUACUCUAAGAAUUAUACAUGAAAGAGAAAGUCAAAGAAGGAGAAGAGAAAAAAAAAAAGUAAAUGAAAAGGAAGAGAUUCCAGAUAGAAACUUAAAGUAAUAAAAGAAAUUAUAAAAAAAAAGAGUAGUGUUUUUACAUUUAAAAGUUGGAUUGUGUUGAAUCACCCUAGCCACCAAACGACCAAUUCUUCCAAAUCCUAUUACAUUUCAAUUUAAAUAUUAAUUAAAAAAACUGAGAAAAUGGAAAAAGUAGAAAAAUAAUUGAACUGAUGUUAAGCAACAGAAGGGUGAUCGAAGGAUGGAGAAGACUUACCGCUGAUUCCGAUCUUGACCUUGCCUGAUCCAUGCAAUUCAUUUGAAAACAAAACAAAAAUCAGAAAAGAAAGAAGAAAAAAAUUAGAUUGGAAGAAAUGGAGUAUAGAGUUGAAAAUGAAAAGAAAACGGUGAGUGUGCGGUGGUUAUUUGCAUACCCAUGACAGCGGGAAAAAAGAAAGUUGUUGGAGUAGGAAGUAGCAGAAGUUGUU